Molecule: transfer RNA, 76 nt
Filed under: Chloroflexota bacterium
Lineage: Bacteria; Bacillati; Chloroflexota
Description: Chloroflexi bacterium tRNA-Gly
Rfam family: tRNA
About the family: Transfer RNA (tRNA) molecules are approximately 80 nucleotides in length. Their secondary structure includes four short double-helical elements and three loops (D, anti-codon, and T loops). Further hydrogen bonds mediate the characteristic L-shaped molecular structure. tRNAs have two regions of fundamental functional importance: the anti-codon, which is responsible for specific mRNA codon recognition, and the 3' end, to which the tRNAs corresponding amino acid is attached (by aminoacyl-tRNA synthetases). tRNAs cope with the degeneracy of the genetic code in two manners: having more than one tRNA (with a specific anti-codon) for a particular amino acid; and 'wobble' base-pairing, i.e. permitting non-standard base-pairing at the 3rd anti-codon position.
Source: RNAcentral
GCGGGAGUAGCUCAGUUGGUGGAGCACCUGCCCUCCAAGCAGGACGUCGCGGGUUCGAGCCCCGUCUCCCGCCCCG